This 2567-nucleotide long non-coding RNA is filed under the name Heterocephalus glaber (naked mole-rat). RNAcentral describes it as "lncRNA (ENSHGLG00100048369.1)". The record is from RNAcentral. Lineage: Eukaryota; Metazoa; Chordata; Mammalia; Rodentia; Bathyergidae.
UUGGGAGGAUCGCUUGGACACCAUUGGGAAAAGCCAUUGAAAAGGUCGUAAGACUGCAGUUCAUUCAGAAGAAAGGAACAGAGCUAAUUAAUCGAGAAAAUGCCUCCUCUUGAUACUGAUGUACUGAACUAUUGCAGUCUACAGAUCUACAGCCGACUUGCGGAAAUUAUUGGCCUUGCACCAAAGAUUGAACCAGGACCUUGUGCACGAUAACCAAGCACGUUACCACAACUCAUUCCCCACCCCGCUGCUGCAACAAAUUUAAUGGCAGAAUGGAAAUUGUACUGGCGUCACUGGGUGGGGGAGUGGGGGCCUGCGGGCGCCCUGCGCUCUACCUGGGUUUGGGGCAGGUGCGGUUUGCCCUGUGCAGGACUGGGGCAGGCAGGAGUCGGGCCUGGUCUCAGCUUAAGGUGACAGCGCGUUUUCCUGUCCCGAACUUGGCAGUCCGCACGGCGCGCUCUCAGGAGGAGGUUCGAGCACAGAACGGGCCCGGGAGCCACACUGGCCAGGCAGGCUCUGGGCUGAGGCCGACGCACACCUUCCCUGUCCCCACACGCGGUGCCAGAGCAACAGCACCGGCGCCUUUCAGCCCCCUAGCGGGCACGUCGCUUAGGCCCACCUCAGCGCAGCGUUGAGCUUUGUGGACGCUGAGGUUUGGAUUUCCAUUUUAGUUCAUAAACAGUUUUGAGGUCUCACUGUAUCUUGGAGGGCGGGUGAUGAGUGACGAAUGGAGAAGGUGGAUGUGCAGCAGGCUUGCUCAGUGCUCCAAGGGGCUCCCAAGGCUCCGUCCAGCUCGGUGACCGCUGUCACACACCAGAGGCCCUGGGGUUGCCUUAGAACUGUGACAUUGCAAGUGUACUGCUUUCCCUGAUGGAAGAAAGAGCCUUUCUGGGGUUUUGUUUUAUUUUAUUUUCUCUUAACCUCCCCAAACCUGGAAGCUGAGCAGGAGAGGCACAGCAGCCCCACCUGGUUCCACCCUAACCGUGGGGGGCGGGGGGGGGGUUGACUUACUGUCCAACUUUAGGAAAUUAUAAACUAUUAAGAUGUAUAAAAUUAUAUUUUCAAAAUCUGUUUAGUGAUAUAGAAAAAGGAACACAUUUCUAAGUUAAGAAACAGGUCAGAAAACAAAUUUUAUGGAUGUAUUUUGCAUUUGCUUAGAUAAAUGAAUCAAAUACAUGAAAGUAUUUAUAGUGGGUAUCACUGGAUGUUAUGGCUUGUGUCUUGCUGUCCCCCAAAGCCUCAUGCAGUCACAGGUGGGACUUUUUCUGGAAUUGAUUCAUGGUGCAAUUCUAGGUUCAAGGGCACUAGGAUUAAGGGUGUGAGUGCUACUUGCCCUAAGUAGUCUGCAUAAGAUAAAAGGGCCAGAAAGACGCUGUUAAGGCCUCUGUCCUUUUGCUAACUUGUGGCCACCAUGAACUGAGAUACCCCUCUGCCACCCUGCCUUGGAGCCAGCCAAUUAUGGUCAGAAACCUCUACAAACUGUGAGCUGAAUAAACCUUUCCUCUCUUUAACUUUGGGUGUCAGGUAUUUUGUCUCAGCAAUGAGAAAAAAGUAACUAAGACACUAGACAAUGAGAUUAAGGUGGAUUCUAUUGUCUUCUCUAUCCUUUCUUCAUUAUGCAAAUGUUGAAAUACACAAAACACAUUCUUCUGUAAUAAUAGAAAAAGUAGAAAAUGAUUUUGGAUUAAUAAAAACAUCCUCUCCAAAAUUUGGGGGUUCAUUUGUGCUGAGUUCUUUCUAUCUAUCUAUCUAUCCAUCUAUCAUCAUCUAUCUAUUUAUUUUGAGACAGCGUCCCUUGCUAUGUAGUUUAGGGUGGUCUUUAACUCACCAUAUAACCCAGGCUAACCUUGAAUUUAUGGUGAUCCUCCUUCUUCAGCCUCCAGAGUGCUGAGAUUACAGGUGUGUGCCACCGUGCCUAGUUUGAGCUCAGUUCUUUUAAAGCAGGGAGUUUUAUCUUUUCCAUUCUUACCUUGUAGCUUGUCUCUAUAUUCUAAAAUAUAUAUGACAUUUUCUUAAAGCUAUCUUUCCUUCCUGCUCUCUGGUUGUCUGUGCAACGUCUAUCUUUACCCUCUCACAUGACUUUCUAAACAAGUUUGCCCCACGUUCUCUUUUGUUUGGUUAAUAGACCUUGUGGCAAUAAAUGGCUGCUGGCUGGCUUGCUUAGUAGAUGAAGUAUGUUCCUCACAGAGAGAGCACAUAUAACUUUUCAUUAACAUGAUUCCUUACCUCUACAAAUGUAAACUUCAUACUGAAUUUUGCUUAAAUACAGGGCCACUUCCAAGUGUUUUAGAGAAAUGAUGCAUUAAAAGGCAUAUUUAACCUAGAAAUUCCACAGUAAAUUUAUAAGCAUGUACCUACCUGUACUAAAAAAAUUCUUUCCUGGCUUGAUAGUUCAUACUUAUUCAAAUUAACAUGGAAGUUAAAUUCAGCCAGAUAAAUCCUUCUUGUCAUCCAUAUUGGUGCUAGUAAACAUCAUUUCAAAAACAUAGAAGAUGCCUGUGGCUUAGAGAAGGAAUUUUAUCUUCCUAAAAAAGAUAAGACAAGUAAUCAAAAUACUAGAGUCAAGA